UUUUGAAAACGGCAUUUUCAAUAUGUGAGGAGAAAUCCAGGUCUGAAUGUUUGAGGACAGAGUCUGGUAUAAGAGGGUUCUUAAUGUAGAAGUCCAUUUAGGAACGGUGACUUAGAAAUUGAAAAGUGGGCUGAAAAAGCAAGAGAGUAGUAUAUUUGAGGGAUGGGAGAGAAAGUUGAAAAAAGGAGAGUCAAGUGGUUGGAAUUUAUUCCUUGUUUUUAAAAAAAUGACUUAAGAAAUUAAAUUAUUGCCUCAGUAAUUGUUUUUUCCUCUCUAGGAUAAUAGCCAAGGUUCUGGAGGACAACAAGCUGCCUGGUGCAAUUUGUUCCUUGACUUGUGGUGGAGCAGAUAUUGGGUAGGUUACUAGGCUGAGAGCAUCCUCUGUUGAAGGACCCCAGGUUGACCAACUAGAAUCAUCAUUACUAGAAUAAUGAACUCACUUAUAACUAAGGAGUUGAGAACGGUUUUUGAAAUCAUUAUUAUUAUGGACUUUGUUGGGUUCUUAUUUUAUUAAUGCCUAACCUCUAUUGGAGGAUGAAUAAGAAUUGUCUUUUUAAUUGCCCAGAGGUACUAUUUGUAAGGUGUUUAUAUCCUGAAAUAACAAACUGCUGUAAUGGGGGGCAGCCUUGUGACUUCCUGACACUUGGUUUAUCAAGGUGUUUACUUACACAGAAAGCUUUGAAAUUGUAGUCUGGGGUCUCACUGCCUGCCAAGAACCUAGCCUAUUGUCUGAGUUUCUCAGCUGACUGAAAAAGGGAACCCUGGGAGCACAGCCUCUUUUAAGUAAACUGUUUUUUUCUUUUUUAAUUGCCAUAUAAUUCACAAUUUGUGUACCAUAAAAUGCUCUCUUUUAAAGUGUACAAUAUAGUGGUUUUUAAAAUAUUCAGAGUAUUGUACAACUAUCACCACUAUCUUAUUCCAGAACAUUUUGAUCAGCCCAGAAAGUAAUCCCAUACCCAUUGGCAGUCUCUUCCCAUUCCCCAUGCCCUCAUGCCCUGACAGUCACUAAAGAAUUUUCUGUCCUAUGGAUUUGCCUAUUUGAGACAUUUUGUAUAAAUGUAAUCAUAUAAUAUGUGGCCUUUCGUGUCUUGCUGCUUUUACUUGGCAUGAUAUUAAGAUGACAUGGACUAUAAUUGUGCUGAACUGGGAUGAAAGCUGAGGUUCUUACUGGCUUAGACUUUGAUUAGGUGAGUUUUCCAGGAGUCAAGUCUUACAACCCAUACUGGUGUGGCUAAAGUGUUAGUUUCCUUGCCCUCCAACACUUUUAACAUACUAUUGUACUUACUGGGCAAUCUCAAAAAGGAGCAAUAAGCAAUAAAUAAUGACUGUAUUCUUGCAUUCUAGGUAUUUAGUCCUUGUGCUGGCCUUGCAAUAGCUCAGAAAAUUAUGGUAGUACAUACAGGAGCAUGUUAAGCAGCAGCCACUUUGAGUAUUAGUGCUCAUGCUUGCUGGGUUGAACCUCGGAAGACUGACCUAGGCAAUUGAGCCAAGCCGUCCAGCCCUACAUUAGACUAAUGCUGUGGCUGCCCUGCUUGGCUCACACUGGACCCUUUGUAGCAUUGAAGUAGGAACAAAGAGGUUCAAAUCAGUAGUGUCUGAUUUGCAUUCCUUAGAAGCAACUGGAAAUCCUAGCAUAGCCUUUAUAAGUCGGCUUCCAUGAGGAAUACUUUAGGAUAGCGGUCCCCAACCUUUCUGGCACCAGGGACUGGGACUGGUUUAGUGGAAGACAAUUUUUCCAUGGACCACGGCAGGGGGAUGGUUUUAGGCUGAAAUUGUUCCACCUCAGAUCAUAAGGCAUUAGUUAGAUUCUCAUAAGGAGCAUGCAAUCUAGAUCCCUUGCAUGCACAGCUCACAAUAGGGUUCACACUCCUAAGAAAAUCUAAUGCUGCUGCUGAUCUGACAGGAGGUGGCACUCAGGCAGUAAUGCUCGCUGGGUCGCCUGCUGCCUACCCCUCCUGCUGUGCAGCCUGGCUCCUAAUAGGCCACAGACUGGAACUGGUCAGCGUGCUGGGGCUUGGGGACCCCUGCUUUAGGAUAUUUCCCUACAGGCUUUUAAGUUUGAAUUCUUUUAUUUUUUAUUUAUUUUAUUUUUAUCUUUUUGAGACAGGGUCUCAGUCUGUCUCCUAGGCUGGAGUGCAGUGGCUCGAUCUCAGCUCACUGCAACCUCUGCCUCCCAGGUUCAAGCGAUCCUCCCACCUCAGCCUCCCAAGUAGCUGGGACUACAGGCACAUGCCUCCACACUUGGCUAAUUUUAGUAUUUUUUAUAGAGAUGGGGUUUCAUCAAGUUGCCUAGGCUGGUCCUGCCCAAGUUUUAAUCCUUAAAGGAAUUACACAGCAGUUAAAAGUCUGUAAAACUGGAAUGCUCAGCAAGGAAAUGCUAAGAUCAUAUUGUCCAGUCACUCACUCAGUAUAGGAAAGACUUUCUUCCCUAACAACUUCUUCUAGGUGAUUUCUAUUCAAAUGCUCACAGCAGGUUAGCCUCUUCUGCCUAAUGGUUCUACUUGUGAAAAACUUUUUUCCUUCUCAUGAAGACCUUCCCUUGCUCCCCUGGGACAGACUUUCUUGUAGCUUUGAGGGACUGCUUUUUCAAGGGCACUUCAGUGCUGGGUACCAUUAGAUGUUGUCAUUGCUGGGUUUCUCUGCUUGGGUGACCGACCGUGUCUGUUCCCUUGUAGCACAGCAAUGGCCAAAGAUGAACGAGUGAACCUGCUGUCCUUCACCGGGAGCACUCAGGUGGGAAAACAGGUGGCCCUGAUGGUGCAGGAAAGGUUUGGUAAGUGUUGGCUUUCUCAUGAGGAUUUUAAUUCUCUCAAAUAUGGAGGUGAAAUCUAAAAGUUGAGUUUUUGUUUUCCCCUCAACCUUUUCCAUGGAGGCAGUGGUCAUGUUUAUUUGAAUGUCUAAGUAAAAGAAAAGGGUACAGUUAUUAGCAGUUGAAUAUUAGGGAAGUCCUAAAUUUAAAUACCAAAAUUUAUGAAAAUCCCAGCACUUUGGGAGGCCAAGGCAGGUGGAUCACAAGGUCAGGAGAUCCAGACCAUCCUGGCUAACACGGUGAAACCCCAUCUCUACUAAAAAUACAAAAAAUUAGCCGGGUGUGGUGGCCGGCGCCUGUAGUCCCAGCUACUCGGGAGGCUGAGGCAGGAGAAUGGUGUGAACCUGGGAGGUGGAGCUUGCAGUGAGCCGAGAUGGCACCACUGCACUGCAGCCUGGGAGGCAGAGUGAGAC
Molecule: small RNA, 3222 nt
Filed under: Pongo abelii (Sumatran orangutan)
Lineage: Eukaryota; Metazoa; Chordata; Mammalia; Primates; Hominidae
Description: retained intron
Source: RNAcentral